This is a non-coding RNA of Vicia faba (fava bean), 273 nucleotides long. NCBI's taxonomy places the organism in Eukaryota, Viridiplantae, Streptophyta, Magnoliopsida, Fabales, Fabaceae. The record is from the annotation of a GenBank genome assembly.
AUGGCGGAACCAAACGAAGAACAACAACAGAACCUCCCUCAACCUUCCAAUCCCCCCUUACCAUUCGAUCCUAGUCGAAUGGUUGGUAUCAUCAAAAGAAAGGCUUUGAUCAAAGACUUAGCUGCUGCGUAUCAUGCUGAAUGCCUUCAAUAUUGUCAAGAGCUUCUAGAGCUUCAAACUAAAUGGGAUGAGCCAUUUAUUGACUUAAAACCUCUCGAGGAAUCAAAAAAGGAGCCAGCGCGACCCUCUAAACGCAUGAAAAAAUUGCGCUAG